This 253-nucleotide ribosomal RNA is filed under the name uncultured bacterium. RNAcentral's name for it is "partial 16S ribosomal RNA". It matches the Rfam family "Bacterial small subunit ribosomal RNA", at positions 524 to 776 of the family's 1533-position model. The record is from RNAcentral.
GACAGAGGGUGCAAACGUUGUUCGGAAUUACUGGGCGUAAAGGGCGCGUAGGCGGCUCGCCAAGUCAGGGGUGAAAUCUUUCGGCUCAACCGGAAAAGCGCUUCUGAUACUGGCGGGCUGGAGGGGGGUAGGGGCGACUGGAACUUCCGGUGGAGCGGUGAAAUGCGUAGAUAUCGGAAGGAACGCCGGUGGCGAAAGCGAGUCGCUGGACCCCUUCUGACGCUGAGGCGCGAAAGCCAGGGGAGCAAACGGG